AUGAUGAACUCUGAUGUAAUCGGCUAUAGGAUAGACUGGCUAAAGAAGUUCUUUUUCCCUCUGGAUUUCAUGCACUGCUGGUCGAUGUACCUUAUGGAUAAGGACACAAAGGUUAUGAUGGUGCUAGACCUGACCGAGACAGAUGAACUAGACGAGAUGAAGAUAAAGCAUGAAGCACUAGCUAAGAAAUUCCAGAAGAGGUUUUGUUCUUUGUUAAACAACUACUUCGGUAACGGGUUGGUGGAUGCCGAUGGAUGGAAAUUUGUGUAUCCAUUGGUGGCACAUCAUGAACCAUGCAGCAGACAGUGGGAUCUACAUCUUUCACUACUUCAAGAAUUUCACCGGGCUAUACCUUCGUUCAACACCGACGCAGGAACAGAUUGA
This 384-nucleotide ribosomal RNA is filed under the name Triticum aestivum (bread wheat). RNAcentral describes it as "partial small subunit ribosomal RNA". Lineage: Eukaryota; Viridiplantae; Streptophyta; Magnoliopsida; Poales; Poaceae. The record is from RNAcentral.